This 447-nucleotide long non-coding RNA is filed under the name Olea europaea (common olive). RNAcentral describes it as "long non-coding RNA (OEUR_LNC007157)". Lineage: Eukaryota; Viridiplantae; Streptophyta; Magnoliopsida; Lamiales; Oleaceae. The record is from RNAcentral.
ACAAAAAAUGUAUUAACGAUAAGAUCUAAAGACCUAAUGCUAGAGACUCAAAAUGAAUCAAAACAUGAGGAUACAAUAAGAACAUGACUUUGUAUAUAUGUCUUUUGAUCUGUCUCACUAUGCUAUGAAUGUGUGGUCUAAGAUCGUCAAAAAUCUUCCUAUUUCUCACCAUCCAGAUGUAGUAAACGGUGCAAGCGAGUGCAAUUCUCUUAGCUUUGCUUUGCCAAGAUGUCCCUCGAGCUUCCUUUUUAAUCCACUUCAAAGCACUAGCUAGUGUAGACAUGGAUCGUCUCAUUCCCAGCCACUUUCGGAUCUGUCCCCAUGUUUUGUUGCUGAACGAGCAUUCAAAAAAUAGGUUCUUACCAGAUUCUUCCUUAAAUCCACAGAAAACACAGCUUCGAUCUAUUUCCAAAUGUUGUGAUUUAUCUUUGGUAAGUAGCCUAGAUU